Molecule: unclassified non-coding RNA, 180 nt
Organism: Chelonoidis abingdonii (Abingdon island giant tortoise)
Lineage: Eukaryota; Metazoa; Chordata; Testudines; Testudinidae
Source: Ensembl
UUAGCAGCUCUGGAGCCUGAAAUCCUUUGUUUUUCCACAGAAGAGGUUUAGCAAGGGUAGUGGCAGUACAAGCAUCCCCAUAUUGCCCUACUGAAGUGCCUCAAAGCAGACUUACAGGAAACUGUUCUAGGGAUGAGAAGCAGCUGUGAAUUUAAGUGUGCAUAUAAAUUGGGGGCUAAA